ACGAACGCUGGCGGCGUGCCUAAUACAUGCAAGUCGAACGCUUCUUUCCUCCCGAGUGCUUGCACUCAAUUGGAAAGAGGAGUGGCGGACGGGUGAGUAACACGUGUGUAACCUACCCAUCAGAGGGGGAUAACACUUGGAAACAGGUGCUAAUACCGCAUAACAGUUUAUGCCGCAUGGCAUAAGAGUGAAAGGCGCUUUCGGGUGUCGUUGAUGGAUGGACCCGCGGUGCAUUAGCUAGUUGGUGAGGUAACGGCUCACCAAGGCCACGAUGCAUAGCCGACCUGAGAGGGUGAUCGGCCACACUGGGACUGAGACACGGCCCAGACUCCUACGGGAGGCAGCAGUAGGGAAUCUUCGGCAAUGGACGAAAGUCUGACCGAGCAACGCCGCGUGAGUGAAGAAGGUUUUCGGAUCGUAAAACUCUGUUGUUAGAGAAGAACAAGGACGUUAGUAACUGAACGUCCCCUGACGGUAUCUAACCAGAAAGCCACGGCUAACUACGUG
This 507-nucleotide ribosomal RNA is filed under the name uncultured bacterium. RNAcentral's name for it is "partial 16S ribosomal RNA". It matches the Rfam family "Bacterial small subunit ribosomal RNA", at positions 29 to 507 of the family's 1533-position model. The record is from RNAcentral.